Molecule: long non-coding RNA, 473 nt
Organism: Acromyrmex echinatior (Panamanian leafcutter ant)
Lineage: Eukaryota; Metazoa; Arthropoda; Insecta; Hymenoptera; Formicidae
Source: RefSeq, a predicted model, not a curated record
AGACGAUCUUCGAGAAGAAGUUCUUCCUUGAAGAAUUCUUAUUUGAUUUAAGAUCAUCUUGGCGAAGAUAUUCUUAAGAAUGUCGUGUAACGAAAAAACAUCUAGCAGUAAGAACAAACAUUAUACAUUAAUGGAACGAAAAGUAUUUCUAUAGAUACUAAAUGAUUAUAAACACGUAAUCGAAUUAAAAAAAAAGCGAUGGUGCAACAUUAAAAGAAAAAGACGUUGUAUGAAAGAUUUGCAACAAAUACAAUCACUCAACGUUAAUUUCUCAAGAUAGGAGACUGUUCAGCAAUUAAAAAAACUAUGGACAAACAUAAAGCAAACCCAAAGAGAAGCAAUAACAAAGGAAAAACAAUCUCGUCUAGAGACGGAUGGUGAAACAGAAGCGAAAGAAAAUAUCGACCUUGACAUUGCUAAUAUAACACCUACGCUUAUAAAAACUGCACCAAUUUUACUCUAUAAUAUGACAA